AUUGAACGCUGGCGGAAUGCUUUACACAUGCAAGUCGAGCGGCAGCGCGGGGGCAACCCUGGCGGCGAGCGGCGAACGGGUGAGUAAUACAUCGGAACGUGUCCUUAAGUGGGGGAUAGCUCGGCGAAAGCCGGAUUAAUACCGCAUAAGCUCUGAGGAGGAAAGCGGGGGCUCCGUAAGGACCUCGCGCUGUUGGAGCGGCCGAUGUCGGAUUAGCUAGUUGGUGGGGUAAAGGCCCACCAAGGCGACGAUCCGUAGCUGGUCUGAGAGGAUGAUCAGCCACACUGGAACUGAGACACGGUCCAGACUCCUACGGGAGGCAGCAGUGGGGAAUUUUGGACAAUGGGGCAACCCUGAUCCAGCCAUUCCGCGUGAGUGAAGAAGGCCU
This 388-nucleotide ribosomal RNA is filed under the name uncultured bacterium. Its description in RNAcentral is "bacterial SSU rRNA". It matches the Rfam family "Bacterial small subunit ribosomal RNA", at positions 29 to 417 of the family's 1533-position model. The record is from RNAcentral.